AUGACUUAUUUCGACGGUGUAGCGCCUUGAUAAGUAAAUAUUAUGGCAUCCUGGGCAUUACAUUAUUCCAACACCCUCUUCAACACGUAUAUAAGCCUCUUGUACGUAUUCAUCAGGCGCAGCUAGUUUCGUAUGCAGCUCAGGAUUGUCGCUUGCUCCUCGUCGCUGUCACUGUCGACAUCGUUGAUCAUUGCCAAUGGGCCAUGGAAGAGGUGAAGACCACAGGAACAACAAAGGUAAAACCACCAACAGGAACAGCGGCACCAAUUGUCAAUUCUGAUGAUGAUGAUGAUGUUGUUCCUUCGAACAGUCGGUUCUUGCACUGAAAGAAAUAGGUGUGUCGCUUUAAAAAGCUAGCCCGACUUUAGCAUAUACAUAUAAGAAAUACCAAU
This is a non-coding RNA of Drosophila melanogaster (fruit fly), 392 nucleotides long. NCBI's taxonomy places the organism in Eukaryota, Metazoa, Arthropoda, Insecta, Diptera, Drosophilidae. The record is from Ensembl.